Molecule: small nuclear RNA, 103 nt
Organism: Ailuropoda melanoleuca (giant panda)
Lineage: Eukaryota; Metazoa; Chordata; Mammalia; Carnivora; Ursidae
Source: Ensembl
GUGCUCACUUUGGCAGCACAUAUACUAAAACUAGAAUGAUACAAAGAUUAGCAUGGCCCCUGUGCAGGAUGACACACAAAUUCAUGAAGCAUUCCAUAUUUUC